RNAcentral lists this ribosomal RNA (293 nucleotides) under uncultured bacterium. RNAcentral describes it as "partial 16S ribosomal RNA". The record is from RNAcentral.
GGACUACCAGGGUUUCUAAUCCCGUUCGAUUCCCACGCUUUCGUGUAUGAGCGUCAGGAGCGCGCCAGUAGAGUGCCUUCGCAUUUGGUGUUCCCCAUGAUAUCAACGGAUUUCACCCCUACACCAUGAGUUCCCUCUACCUCUCGCGUCCUCAAGCUUUGCCGUUUCGCCCGCAGUAUCGGGGUUAAGCCCCAAUGCUUUUACGGGCGACUAACAAAGCCGCCUGCACACCCUUUACGCCCAGUGAUUCCGGAUAAUGCUUGGGGCCUCUGUAUUACCGCGGCUGCUGGCAC